UUUAAAGGGUCCGUAGGCGGACAAUUAAGUCAGAGGUGAAAGUCUGCAGCUCAACUGUAGAAUUGCCUUUGAUACUGGUUGUCUUGAAUUAUUGUGAAGUGGUUAGAAUAAGUAGUGUAGCGGUGAAAUGCAUAGAUAUUACUUAGAAUACCAAUUGCGAAGGCAGAUCACUAACAAUAUAUUGACGCUGAGGGACGAAAGCGUGGGGAGCGAACAGGAUUAGAUACCCUGGUAGUCCACGCCGUAAACGAUGGAUACUAGCUGUUCGAUUCUCGGAUUGAGUGGCUAAGCGAAAGUGAUAAGUAUCCCACCUGGGGAGUACGUUCGCAAGAAUGAAACUCAAAGGAAUUGACGGGG
RNAcentral lists this ribosomal RNA (357 nucleotides) under uncultured bacterium. RNAcentral describes it as "bacterial SSU rRNA". It matches the Rfam family "Bacterial small subunit ribosomal RNA", at positions 559 to 918 of the family's 1533-position model. The record is from RNAcentral.